Molecule: ribosomal RNA, 756 nt
Filed under: Rhizopogon salebrosus
Lineage: Eukaryota; Fungi; Basidiomycota; Agaricomycetes; Boletales; Rhizopogonaceae
Description: eukaryotic LSU rRNA
Rfam family: 5.8S ribosomal RNA (bases 229-383)
Source: RNAcentral
CAUUAACGAAUAUAAUUCGAGGGGUUGUCGCUGGCCUCGCUCGCGCGAGGCAUGUGCACGCUUCUCGUUUUUCUCUCAACUCACCUGUGCACCUAAUGUAGGAUGCCUCUCCUCCGGGAGGGGGGACCUAUGUCUUCGUAACAUCUUCGUGUAGAAAGUCUUUGAAUGUUUACUAUCAUCGAGUCGCGACUUCUAGGAGACGCGAUUCUUUGAGAUAAAAGUUAUUACAACUUUCAGCAACGGAUCUCUUGGCUCUCGCAUCGAUGAAGAACGCAGCGAAAAGCGAUAUGUAAUGUGAAUUGCAGAUCUACAGUGAAUCAUCGAAUCUUUGAACGCACCUUGCGCUCCUCGGUGUUCCGAGGAGCAUGCCUGUUUGAGUGUCAGUAAAUUCUCAACCCCUCUCGAUUAGCUUCGAGAGGGCGCUUGGAUAGUGGAGGUUGCCGGAGACUCGGAUUCGUCCGAGACUCGGGCUCUUCUGAAAUGCAUCGGCUUGCGGUCGACUUUCGACUAUGCGCGACAAGGCUUUCGGCGUGAUAAUGAUCGCCGUUCGCUGAAGCGCAUGACUGAACGUCCCGUGCCUCUAAUACGUCGACCGCUUAUUAUCUCUCCGGAGAGAACAGGGUCUUCCUUAUUGACUUUUGACCUCAAAUCAGGUAGGACUACCCGCUGAACUUAAGCAUAUCAAUAAGCGGAGGAAAAGAAACUAACAAGGAUUCCCCUAGUAACUGCGAGUGAAGAGGGAAAAGCUCAAAUUUU